This is a long non-coding RNA of Musa acuminata AAA Group (dessert banana), 3397 nucleotides long. RefSeq lists it as uncharacterized. The transcript is spliced from 5 exons. The record is from RefSeq and is a predicted model, not a curated record. NCBI's taxonomy places the organism in Eukaryota, Viridiplantae, Streptophyta, Magnoliopsida, Zingiberales, Musaceae.
CUUUGGAGUCGGCCCCUUCCCCCCGAGUUGAUCAAUUAAGUAUUUAGAUGCCAACCUGGACUUCUUGUUUGGUGGACGGUCGGGAGCUGAAACGAUAAGAGAGGAAAGGCGAGACACGGGAGCGAGUCGCUAUGGAGGAGGUUGAAUCGGAACAGCAAGCCGUAGCCGCGCGCCCGGCGAGGGAAGAGGAGAGGCACGGGACGAUGAAUCCUUCGCCGACGAUGAUAGUGACUUUUCCGGAUGCCGCCCGCCGCAGACCCCAGAGCUUCCCACCGCCUCUCACGCUGGAAGGCGAAGAGUCUACCGAGGACAUGAGCCAUCACAAUAUGUGGCAGGUGUAUGCCCUUGGAGGCUUCAUGAUUCUGAGGUGGAUUUGGGCUCGUUGGAGGGAGAGGAGGGAUAGAGGGAAAUCAAAUGAAGAUUUAUAGAAUUGUGAACGUAGGUUGGUGGAGGUUUCUUUCGGAAACACUUGUUGAGAGCUUAUUGAAUUAUAGUACCAUGCAUUCGCCAGCAUACUGCUCGUGAAUCCAUAUAAACAGCAUCUGGCACUUGCCUCUAGUAUUUUACAGCAUAAAGCUGCUAUACUAGCUUAAAGAUGCCAAUGUUCAUACUUGAACCACUGCUAGUUAGUUGUACUAAUCACUUUGUUUCGGGUUGAAGCUCUGCAGUCUGAGAAAAAGAUUGGCAAGCAUCCUUUGGUAACAUUUUGAAAUCAUUAUGUUUCAUGUGUCUUAGACCUCUCGCUUGAUAUUAACGAUGAAGACGGCUCUAACAUACCUAAACGACAGUCAUAUCAUCUCGUAAACAUCAAAAGAGCCAGAUUAAUGAAUUCUUUGCUCCACAUGUUGUUGAAAAGUAAUCUUGUCUAGGUUUAAUAUCAGUGUAUAAUACAUGUUAUAUCUGGCAAGUUAUAUAUGAACUUAUAUUUCUUUGUUUAUUUAAAAAUUUUCAAAUUGCUAAAAUUAUAAAAUGCUUUGUUUAAAUCUUUGUAAUCCUAUUUUGCAUUCAUAAUUGAUUCCUUUGUUUGUGCUCUUCAACAAAGAAGCGUAUGUAUAUGUUCUCGUGAGGGUGGCACAAUUAAGUGGUGGUUGGCAUCUUCUAUAGUUUCUUUUGAGCUAACCAAGAAAUUGAACUCUUUGUAUGGUUAGUUGAUUCUAGUAUUUCAAGAAGCAAGUUUCUAAAAUAUUUCGCAUUUUCAUGCAGUUUUUGUUAGAACAUCUGUUGCAUAUUUUGCCAUAAAGACAGGUCAGAACAUGUACAGACAACAAUAUGAACUAUCUAUUGGAUUUUGUAGUGGUUGUUGCCAGUAAUCCUUUCAGAAAAACAAGUACUACUGAGGCUGCCAAAGUUCGAAGUUAAUAUAAGUACAUCUCCUGGAACAGAAUGUAAUACUUAUCAUAGCUUUUUCCUUCUGCUCUGUUGACUAUCCCUGAUAUGGACUUCUUGAGGAUUAAACCCAUGAGCAUGUACCACCAUGAGGAACAUUUCCCCCAAUUCCUGUGAUGGGAAUUCCAGAAAUCGUCGGUGCCAGGAGCUUCAAGAAUUGUGGUUAUAAAUCAAGGAUUAUGCUUCUCUUCUCUUCAAGCAUCCAUGACUGCUUAAGUUGAAGUAUGCUACCCGGGUAAAAGAUACAGCACCGCCAGAAGGUACACGAAAAAGUUUUGGCAGCAUAUCGAACUAUGCCCAUUAGGAUUGUGGAAUGUAGGUGCCAACAUAACCAAAUCCAACGAUGAAGAAGGUGAUCGACUGGAGGAAGAGGUAGAGGAAGUAAUGGUUCUUCCCAUACUUCAGAUCAUAGCAUGCACAGAAGAAGAGAUAGGCCCCAGUAAAGAGCUCCAUUUUAUGUAACCUGAUUCCAAAAACAACACAGAGAGCACAUCAAUACCAUUACAGAGACAUGACAUUCUCGAAAAGGACCCAGAACACCAGCAAGUGAAGUGACCUAGGACGAAGCAUCAAGUGAGUGGGUUAUCUUUGAAGCUUAACCAAAGAGAUGAGCUUAAUGAUCACUUGGCAUCCAGUUUCAUGGUUGAAUAUCCAGCUAAGAUUCAAUUGAAAGGGAACAGUGGUACCUCGGCGUCCCAACAGAAUUCAGCAUUGUAAUGACGGAAGGUAGGUAGACUAAACCCCACAUUGGUAUUUCCACUUCAGGAACAAAGACAGUGGCAGGGAUCACCAAGCAGUAAAAUAUAAAGGUCACUAUAUGACCCACAAUCUUGCGGAUGAAGAAGAAGCUGUAUAUCACAUAAACUUUGGUCCACAGGGAUACUUUCUGCAUUGUCAAGGAGGCAUCACAAAGCCAAUUAGAAUCUCUGGAAAAGUUGUGGGUGUUUCUAACACACAGGGAACAUACCUUGUUCUUGGAGAUCUCCACCACCAUUUUCCUGAACAAGUUCGCUGGUCCACACGACCAUCUGUGUUGCUGAUGGCGAAAGGCCUUGAAAGUACUUGGUAGCUCGCUUUUCACCUGAGUUCAGAGAUGUAGGCAAUCUAAUCAACUACUGAAUCGCUUCAAUCAUUUGAAGAUCAAGAUGCAAGUUUGUAGCAGUUAAUGCUUACCCCGAGGUCGUUGAGGAAUAUAAAUUUCCAGCCCUUGAGGCUUGCUCGAACAGCCAAGUCCAUGUCCUCUACAGUGGUCCGAUCCUUCCAACCUCCGGCUUCAUUGAUAGCUGCAAUCCGCCAUACCCCAGCAGUUCCUGCGAAGAGACUCCAUUUUAGCAACUCACCUUGACAAUAACGACUGGUAUUCAUCCUUCCAUUUCUUACUUAAUUCUGAGGUGCACUAAUAACUCACCAUUGAAUCCGAAGAAAGCAUAGGUGGAGGAUCCCACUUCCUGCUCGAUAGCAAAAUGGUAAUCCAAGGACAUCUCCUGCAUCCUUGUCAUCAAGCAUUCAUCCGCGUUCACUGCGACACAUGCGAUGCAAGCAAUGCUAAGGAAACUAAGGAAAUCCAGCAUCGACAACGUUUCAAAUGCCUAUUCUAGGUUAAUUGUCGCCAUGUUCAUGCACGUAGGAUUGGUCUGUAAAGAAGAUUAUGCAGUAAAGCAAGGAUGGCUGAAUGGACUACUAAUGAGUUGGAUAGUGACAGCCGACAAGAUAACUUCUUUAUCACGCAGGAAGUAAAAGAUUAGAAAAGAUAAAGAUAAAGAUAAAGGGUGAUUCCUGCGGUGUCGGUGCUUAUGAACAGUGCAUGAGGAGACAGCUUUGGGCUGUAAUAUCACGAGUAUAAUUGCACAUGGGAAGGCAAAACGUACAGUUGUACCAGAGUAAAAAACACAAGUUGGAUCCAUCUACAUUAAUCUGCAGCUACCACAUUUGUUAUUUAGCUACUGCACCAUUGAAACAUAGCAAUUUAGCUGGUCCUGAUAAUAAACUUAAGGAUGCCUCUUUCUCUCUC